GCGGGGCGGCCCUCGCGCGGGGCUCCGGGGGCUUGUCGGGGGGCGGCUGCAGGCAGGGAAGAGCGCGGUGCCGGGUCGCCCCCGGGAAGCCCUUACGAGGCGGGAAUGAGAGGAGGGAGCGAGGGAGAUGCGGGAUGCCGGCGGGCGCGAGUGCGUGUGCCGGGGCGAGGGACGGCGGGAGAGGGGGAAUCUGAGGUAAAACAGUUCCCGUCUCGCCUCAGAUCUCCAGGUCGCACCCAGGAAGGAGCUGCUUCAUGCAACAGGGGAGAAUCUUCGGAAGUAGUUUGUACUGGGGUGCGGGAGGGGCAUCCUUGGCCGAAAUGCGGAAAGGCCGAGGUGACAGUGGUCCCAGAUGACCCAAGGGACGGUCACUAAAGGCCCACAGCGAAGGGCCCCGAUGGUGAGGCGCGGUGUGAGUUUGGAGUGGAAAUUUGGUGUUGGGGGCUGUGCUCUCCGGACCCCCGCGGGUCGGAUUCCGGAUGGGGUCGCCCAGGUGCCCACCAGGCUGGCUCGCCCUGCAUAGCCCAAGGCUGUAUUUUGUGCUGCGGGGGGAGGGGGGAGUUGUGUGUGUGUGAGUGAGUGUGUGAGAGUGUGUGUGUGUGUGUGUGUGUGUGUGUGGUGCUGAUGGUGGUGGAAGUGAUGGUGGCUUUUUCCAGGUGGAGACGACGACCCAGGUAUGGUGCAAGGGGCGCAAAUGGAGAUCUGCUUUCACCCAGUGGAUGGAAACUUCAAGAUCCCACCCCCCACCCCCUUUAAAAAAGGGAUAUGUGGCAUUUUUCCAACAGUGCUGAAGGCUGGGGGAAAUGUUAGCUGUUGGUGGUAAAAGCUUGGAUGAGGGGGUCCGUUUCAGGCUAAGACCGAUUCUGGUUGAUGUAGCUGGAAGUUAACCCAGGGCAUGAUGGGGUGGGGGGUUUGACUGGAGAAGGGCUUGAAGAAAUGAAGACGGACACUUGAUCUUCAGGAAUAUGAAAAAGGGCCUUUUUUUUGUUUUGUUUUGUUUCUCACAGGAGUGAGGUUGGGGACCGGACCCAACGGGGAGGCACAGAGGGCCCAUGAGGCUGUUAAUCUCCAUUUCCUCUUUGGGCUGCUUCCCAGCUUUUUCUCUAUCAUUUUCUCACUGGGAGCCCCAGAGGGAGGGUUGCAGAGAGAGAGGGUGUGGGCAGCGGCAUGGACAGGGGAAGUGAGAUGUGAAUGUGGGGAUGCCUUCCUGCUGGCAGCCGCUGUCACCAGUCUGCAUAGUUGUUUGGAUGCCUUGUUUGGUUGAUUUUUUCUCUUGAAGGCACAUACAAGAAGGCAGUGGGGGAAAUAGAAGAGAAUAUGACAGGCCAUUGACAGCCCCCUUAGGAGAAUCGCUGUAACUCAGUUCAAAUCAACAAGUGCUCAUUAAGGGAGAAGGGAAGGGAACCAAACUGUGUUGAACAUCUGUUAUACACCAAACCGUACUGGGUGCUCACAAUAGGUUAUCUCAUUGAAUUCUCACCACAUAACUGAGGCUUUGAAAAGGUAAGUACUGUUUUCAUACAGCCAGCGAAUGGUAGAAUCAGGGUUUGAAUUUAGGCCCCAUUUGAGUUCACUGUUCCCACUCCACUAUAUCACCUCACUAUUAUUAUAUUACUGGCCAUUUUAAUAAUAUGCUUCCUGUAGGGGCUAGGCAGCGUCGGGGGGGCUUUUAGAGAAUCACUCCAAUUUGGGAGAUAGAUUGACUGCAUGAAACAUUUAACAAAAGGAAAUCUAGAAUUAUUGCUGGGCACUUGUGUUUCAGUCAUUCAGUGAAUGGGGUGAUUGGUGGGAGCCAGUGUUACUGGAGAAGGCUUAACGCAGGUGAAUCUCCAAAGAAAGGCCAGGAAGAGGGAAGAAAUGAGAACGAUGUUGUUUGAUUUUUCUGUGCAAGAAUCUGACCUUUAUGCACCUUGUCUUGAUCUCCCAUCCUGUUGAAGGCAUUUGUUUCGGGUAUAAUUGCUAGUUAGGUAUCUACAGGUAGGUAGAUACUCAUUUGUAUGGUUAUGGUGAGGCUGCUGUAGGUUUCUGUUUAUAAAUGCCUCAGUGGCUUGAGAUUUGAAAGUCUCCUUGGAUAGUAUUAUUUUCUAGAAAGACAGACUUGCAUAAACCAGAGAAUUUGCCUUGCCCUGGAGACUAGAAUUCUAAUGGAAGUAAUAGAAGCUACUUUUUAUGUGCUUACUCCCAACUGUUUUCUGGUUUUCUCUGAAGUAACAACAUUAAUUUAUUAGAACUCAUAAGCCUCAUUUGAGUGCAGUGCUUGACAGCAGUUUUGUGCCUCUGUUUCUGUGCUUAAUAGCAAUUUCCAGAAUUUCAGAGUUUGUCUUCCAACAUAGUUCUAAAUUUGUUGUAAACAUCUCAGUUAAAUAUUGGUGAGUGCUUUUAUUGAAAGAUCUCUUUGAAUUAAGGAGCAGGUGCUUGCUUACGACAGGUACCAUAAUUUACAAAGGUGGUUUUUGCUCUGAAGGCUUAUUUUAGUAAAUACCUAGAUGGUAUUCACUGAGGAGGUAGCAUAUGAAGGAGCUAAAGAAGUUCUUGGAAAAGUAGAAUUUAAAGAUGGCGGGGGGGGGGGGGCUGGGACCAGCGCUGUGGCGUAGUGGGUAAAGCCACCACCUACAGUGCUGGCAUCCCGUCUGGGUGCUGGUUUGAGUCCAGGCUGCUCCACUUCUGAUCCAGCUGUCUGCUAUGGCCUGGGAAAGCUGUAGAAGAUGGCCCAAGUGCUUGGGCCUCUGCACCGGCAUGGGAGACCCAGAAGAAGCUCUAGGCUCCUGGCUUUGGAUCAGUGCAGCUCUGGCCCUUGUGGCCAACUGGGGAGUGAACAAGCAAAUGGAAGACCUCUCUCUCUUUGUUUCUCUCUCUGUCUCUCUCUCUUCUCUCUAUGUAACUCUUUCAAAUAAAUAAAUAAAUGUUUUUUAAAAAAGAAAGAUAAUGGAGGGUAGAGAGCAGGCAUUUAACCUAGCAGUUAAGACGCCUGAAUCCUGUAUCAGAGUACCUGGGUUUGAUAUUUAUAUCUGGCUUCUGACUUCAGCUUCAUGCAGUUUGUACUCUGGAAGGCAGCAGUGAUGGUUCAAGUGACUGGGCUCCUGCUACGCACAUGGAAGACUUGGAUUGAUUGUUCAGCUUUAGGCUUUGGCAUGGUGUAGGUCUAGCUGUUGCAUGCAUUUGGGACUCAAACAGUGCAUGGCAGCUCUCUCCCUUGCUGUUUCUCUCUUUCUGUCGCUCAAGUAAAUAUGUAAUUAGAAAUGUUAAAUGUGCGUUUUCUGUGAAAUUUCUGAAACCACCUCAUACAUGUCCAGUAUCAUUAUCCUGUGCUUGAGUAGGAAGGCAGAGUGUAGUCUCCCAGAGUAUUGGUUCCAUCUGAUUUAUAGAAUACUAAAAUAAAGAGGGCUUUAACAACCAUUUAAAUAAUUGGAGAUUUAAAAGAGUGCUUGAAACAGGUGACAUCUCAGAGCAUCCUUAGUACACAGCAGAGUCCUUUGAAUCUUUACCAGUAUAAUUGCAAGCAACAGAAUUUGUAGACUUCACCACUGACCAGGUUGAUGGGAAAACUGGAAGAGUUUUUCUUUCUUUAACUUGAAAUGUUUUCAUUGGUUGCUGAGAUCUUUAGACUAAUGGCAUACUAAAAGAUCAUUGAAAAAUUUAUUUGUGCUACACAAAAAAUGUAAUCAAGCUCAUUAUAUACUUCAUUAAUAUUAUUAAUGUUAGUUUUUAUGUUGCCAUGCCUUUUAAGGAUUGUAAUAAAUUUGAAGUGCAUCUUUCACAUUUAUGAUCUUUGUGCCUAAACAAAGAACAGAUGGCAUUUGAGUGUGUCUGUUUCUUCGGUAUAUUACAUUCUCACUGGUUAAAAGGUAAGUUUUCUCUCAGAUUCUUCCUUCCCUCCAUUCUAGAAAUUCUGACUCCAAUGACAAAGAGAGCUUUUCAUCGUGGGACUUCUCAGUUUUAAUUUGAAAUUCUGUACAGCAAAGGCACUCUUGAUUAUUUAGAGGUUGCAGAUAUGAAUAGUCAACAGGUGUUAACUGGGCAUCUUCUUUUUUAGGGUAUAUUUGUUGUGAAUCAAUGAGGCCUAGCAUCCGUCUUUUAGGAUCUAACUGUCCAGUGGGGAGGUAAAUUUAUAUUUUUGAAAAAAGGUGAUUACAAAUUACCUUUUGUAUUCAAAGUAUGGUCCUUGAGCCAAAGUAUUGAUAUCAACCAGUAGCUUUGUGAACUAUAGUAUCUUAGGUCCCACCUCAUGCCUGUGGAAUCAUAAUUUGCAUUUGAGCAAAACCCCCAAAUGAUUCAUAAUCACAUUAAAUUUGAGUUGUGAUGAACAAAUGGAUAUGUGAUUGGUGCUAUAGGUGAGACAACACCACCAACUACUGUUAUUUAUUGACCAAUUACUACAUGAGAGGUCUUCAAAAGUUGAUAGAAAAAUGCAUAUUAUGAAAAAGCUACACAUGGUUUUCAAAUUUUCUGUACCCAAAUUAUCUUUAAAAAAAAAGAUUUAUUUACUUGACAGGCAGAGUUAUAGAGAGGUAGAUGCAGAGAGAGAGAGAGUGAGAGAGAGGGGUUUCCGUCUGGUUAUUCACUCCCCAAAUGGCCGCAAAGACUGGAGCUGACCCAAUCCAAAGCCAGGAACCUGGAGUUUCUCUUGGUCUCCUAUGCAGGAACAGGGGCCAAGGACUUGGACCAUCUUUUACUGCUUUCCGAGGCCAUAGCAGAGAGCUGGAUCAGAAGUGGAGCAGCCAGGACUCUAACUGGUGCUCAUAUGGGAUGACCCCAAUUAUUUUUUAAUUCUGUUUUCUACAGACUUUUUGAAGUACCCUUGUAUGCAGAUGUUGUACUAUUCUCUUUACAAAUCUCAUUUAAUCUUUCUAACACCAAUGUAGUAUAGAAAUUUGUUUUAAAGAUUUAUUUAUUUAUUCAAAAGGCAAUUACAGAGAGAGGAAGUGUCAGGGAGAGAGACAAAGAGGCAGAGAGUGAGAGAGUGAGAGAGAGUGUUUGUUCUUCCAUUCACUGGUUCACUCCCCAAAUGGCCACAGUGGCUGGGAUUGGGCUAGGCUGAAGUCUGGAGCCCAUAUGGGAUGCUGGCAUUGCAAGUGAUAGUUAACCUACUGUACCACAACAUUGGCCCCAGUUUAGCAGUAGAAAGAGAUAGAUGUGGCUAGAGAGGGAAUGGAAGGCUCCACUGAAGAAGUAACAGCUAAACUAAGCUUUGAAGAGUUUGAAUCAGAAGAUGCAGACAUUGUCUAUUGGGAUCUUGCAGUCCAGUAGGGAGAUGACAGGUAUUUAAACAUGAUUGUAAUACAGGUGAUAAUUAGUAUGCAUAAAGUGCUAUCAGAACACAGAUAUGAAUUAUAUUGGAGAAUGAAAAUGUGGUUAGAAAUGUUUUAUAAAAAUGUGUUACCAUCUAGUACUUUUUAUUUAUUUAUUUAGUUGAAAAGCAGAGUUACAGAAAGGCAGAGGCAGAGACAGAUCUUCUAUCCACUGAUUCACUUCCCAAAUGGCUGCAAUGGCCUGAGUUGGGCUGAUCCAAAGCCAGGAGCCAGGAGCUUCUUCUAGGUCUCCCAUGUGGGUGCAGGGGCCAAGCACUUGGACCAUCUUCCACUGCUUUCCCAGGCACAUUACCAGGGAGCUGGAUCAGAAGUGGAGCAGCUGAGACUUGGAGCAGCUUUCCCUGCUGUGCCACAGUGCUGACCCUAAUGAUACAAUUUUUGAGUCAUUUCUUUCCAAAACUUUAGCUCUGUAAUUUUUUUCUACGUGGUAAGUCUUUGAAAGAAGAGACAGAUGUCUCUAAGUGACUAAACAUUUCCUUGAAUGAUAAAUUUGCCUUUGACUACUCCAUUAGGUACCUCCUUGCAAUAUUGGUACCAUGUGGUAUUGUGAGGAAAAAAAGGCUAAAUCUUGUUAUGUCUCCUGUGUGUGUCUUCAUCAACAAUGGAAGUUGGAAACUUGUGGUUGGGUUCCUCUCUUCCCAAUAAACCUGAGCACAUUUGUAUACAUAUUUUGAAUUGUUGGUGAAUGGUAUUUCUUGAUCCCUGCACUGUGCACAGUUUAUACAACAUGUUCUUACCUGUCAUCUCAUUUUAUCUUUGCAAUGAUCCUGAGCGUUGGGUAGAAUAACCGUUUCAUAGAACAGACUCAGAAAAGUAGUGAGUUGCUGGAAAUUAUGUAGCUACUAAGGUCAAGUAUCUGGAUCUGAACUUAGAUUAAUUGAUCUGCAAAAAAAAAAAAAAAAAAAAGCCACAUUUUCUGGCAGAAGAAUUAGGUGAUGGUUUUCUUUUUCUUAUAAAAAGAUUGUUUCUCUUGCAAAAAUCUUCACCAUAUGAUUAAUUUAAAUAGCAAACAUCCCACUGCUUUUGAAAAUUCUCAGUUUACAAAACUCGAUAGGCUAACAUUUUUUAAAGUUACUUUUUUAAAAUAUGAAUAUAGCCACUGCAGUUUUCUAAUUCUUCUCAUUGGUAUAUUGUAUCUUCUCCUUUACUGUUAUCUUUUUUUUUUCGAGAUUUAUUUAUUUAUUUGAGAGAUAGAGUUACAGACAGAGAGAGAGGGAGAGACAGAGAGAAAGGUCUUCCAUCCACUGGUUCACUCCCCAUAUGGCUGCAACAGCUAGAGCUGAGCCAGUCCAAAGCCAGGAGCUUCUUCUGGGGCUCAAGCAUUUAGGCCGCCUUCUGCUGCUUUCCCAGGCCAUAGCAGAGAGCUAGAUUGGAAGUAGGCAGCUAGGACUAGAACCAGCACCCAUAUAGAAUGCUGGUGCUGCAAGCAGAGGCUUUGCCCACAAUGCCACAGUGCUGGCCUCCGGUAGGCCAUGUUUUUCAGGAUCAGAUCCACCAGUUGGUGUGAGGGUAUGGUUAAUAUAGUGGCCAUAGGAUGGAGAACUGCAUCUGAUUUUUAAGUGUGUGUCUGAUGGUACUUCUACUAUGGGUGCACCUCUAAAAAUGAGUGAGACCUGUUCAUUAGGUGGCGGUGUCAUCUUUAAUUUUUGCUUUCUACAUAGAUGCAGUUGGGUGCCACAAGGCUAUAGUCUCUCUAGUCUCUCUCUCUCUCUUUUUUUUUUACAGGCAGAUUUAGACAGUGAGAGAUAGAGAGAGACAGAGAGAAAGGUCUUUCUUCCGUUGGUUCACCCCCCAAAUGGCCACCACGGCUGGCGCGCUGUGCCGAUCCGAAGCCAAGAGCCAGGUGCUUCUUCCUGAUCUCCCAUGCAAGUGUAGGGCCCAAGGACUUGGGCCAUCCUCCACUGCCUUCCCGGGUCACGGCAGAGAGCUGGACUGGAAGAGGAGCAACUGGGACAGAAUCCGGCACCCCAACCAGGACUAGAACCCGGGGUACCAGCGCCGCAGGUGGAGGAUUAGCCUAAUGAGCCAUGGCGCUGGCCUAUAGUGUCUCUCUAGAGAGUGGACAGGAUCAUCUAGAGGGCUUUCCUGUUUUUCUGACACUGCUGCAGUAAAGUGGGAAGAAGUAGGUUAGAACGGGGUAAGUUACCUAUGGAGAGAAUAAAGUGGGCCAGUAAUACAAGUCUGUGAACUCUUAAGGAUGGCCAUGCAGCGUGGGUGAUAAUAGGAGGAAGUAUACUAGUCUUGGUGGUUGCUACUUGACAGCAGUCAUUUCUGAUAUUUUAACCAGUUCAUAUAAAAUUGUAAAAUACACUGAAAUUAUACUCUUUUACCCUACCACUUUUCCCUGUUUUUAGCAGCAUGAAACAAUGUGAAGGUAUAGGAUUAAGGGUCAAAACACCCACGGUUGAGAUAUGGUACCACCAUUAGCCAUAUAACUAUUUUAGAGUUAUAUAAUGUCUUUUAGCCUUUAGCAAAUUUUCAUUGAGAGUCUGUUAAAUGCCACGUACCAUUCUAGUUCCUGGAGGGACACAUACAAACUUAGUUUUCUUAUCUACAAAUGGAGAUAAUAUGUAUAUGACAUAAACUGUUGUGAGAAUUAAGAUGAGCAUUUUAUGAAAAAUAACCAUAGUAGUUAUUGUUUUAUUUCCACAUUUUUAAAAGAGGAUUUAUUUUGUUUUAUUUGAAAGACAAAGUGUCAGAGAGAGAAAGAAAGACAGAAAAAGAGAUCUUUGCUUGUUCACUCUCCAAAUAGCUGCAAUGGCUGGGCUGGGCCAGGCCAGGCCAAAGCCAAGAGCCUGAAACUCUAUCUUGACUCCAUGUGGGUGUUAGGGGCUCAGGUACUUGGGCCAUCUUCUGCUGCUUUCCCAGGCACAUUAGUAGGGAGCUGGGUCUGAAGUGGAGUAGCUGACACUCUAACUGGCACUCAUAUGGGAUGCUGGCUUUAUAGGUGGCAGCUGCUUAAUCAUCUGCUUCACAUUUUCCUGUUUGUUAACUGCAGGUGCCCAAAUUAUCUUUUUUUUUUUAAAGAUUUAUUUAUUUAUUUUAAAGUCAAGAGUUACAGAGAGGAAGAGGAGGGGAGGAGAGAUAGAAAGAGAUAUCUUCCAUCCUCUGGUUCACUCCCCAGAUGGCUGCAAAUGCUGGGGCUGGGCCAGGCUGAAGCCAGGAGUCAAGAGUUUCUUCCAAUAUCCCACGUGGGUGCAGGAACCCAAGUGCAUGGACCAUCUUCUGCUGCUUCCCCAGGCACGUUAGCAGGAAUCUGGAUCGAAGGUGGAGCAGCCGGUCUCAAACCAGUGCCUAUAUGGAGUGCCAGCAUCACAGAUGGUAGCUUUAACUGUUAUGCUACAAUGCCAGCCGCAACCCCAACUUAUCUCAAUCCCUUUUUGAAUUUCCAAAUUUUAUCAUGUGAUUAUUUAUUGGUAGAGUUGGGGAAUUUUUUUUAAAUUGAAUACCACUAGCUCAGAGACAGUAUCAUUUAAGACAUUAUUUGUUUUUUUGGUUUUUUUUUUUUGUAAAAGGCAGUGUAAUUUAGUUUUUUUUAAAAAAGAUUUAUUUUUCUAUUUGAAAGACAGAGCCUCAGAGACGGGGAGAGAUCAAGAUUUUUCAUAAGUUGGUUCAUUUGCCAAAUGGCCACAGCAGCCAGAGAGCUGAGCCAGGCUGAAGCCAGGAACCAAAACUCCGUCUAUCCCAGUCUGUAAAAUACAUAGUAGAGGCCCAAGCACAGGGCCAUCAUCUGCUGCCUUCCCAGGCACAUUAGUCGAAAGCUGCAUAGGAAGCAGAAUAGGUGGGACUCAAACUAGCACUCCAAUAUGGGGUUCCAGAACUGUGUCACCACACUGACCCCAGUUUUUUAUUUUAUUAUUUUUUUUAAAGAUUUACUUAUUUAUUUGCAAAUGAGAGUUACAUAGAGAGAGGAGAGGCAGAGAGAAAGAGAGAGAGGUCGUCCAUCCGAUGGUUCACUCAAGCCAGGAGCCAGGAGCUUCUUCCGGGUCUCCAAUGUGGGUGCAGGGGCCCAAGGACUUGGGCCAUCUUCUACUGCUUUCCCAGGCCAUAGCAGAGAGCUGGAUUGGAAGUGGAGCAGCCAGGUCUUGAACUGGUGCCCAUAUGGGAUGCCGGCACUUCAGGCCAGGGCAUUAACCCACUGUGCCACAGCACCAGCCCCUUUUAUUAUUGUUUUUUAAAAUUUUAUUUAUUUGAAAGGUAGAGUUGGGGAUGGGGAGAGAGUGAUAUUCCAUCGACUGGUUCACUCCCCAAAUGGCCACAAUAGCUGAGGCUGGGCCAGGCCCAAGCCAAAAGCCUGGAAUUCCAUCUGGAUCUCCCACAAGGGUGGCAGGGGCCCAAAUAGUUGGGCCAUCUUCCAGUGCUUUCCCAGGUGCAUAAGCAGGGAGCUGGUUUGGGAGUGCAGCAUCUGGGACUUGAACCUGUGCUUAUAUUGGAUGCUGGCUUCCCAGUUUAACCUGCUGUAACGCAACAGUGACCCCAUUAUUCUUAUUCUUAUUUUUUAAAGAUUUACUUUUUUAUUUGAGAGGUAGAAUUAUAGACAGAGAGAGGGAGAGACAGAAAGAAAGGUACUCUGGUUCACUCUCCAUAUGACUGCAAUAGCCUGAGCUGGGCUAGGCCAAAGCCAGGAGCCAAGAGCUUCCUCUAGGCCUCCCAUGUGGGUGCAGGGGCCCAAGCACUUGGGCCAUCUUCCACUGUUUUCCCAGGCCAUAGCAGAGAGCUGGAUCAAAAGUGGAGCAGCUGGGAUGUGAACCGGUGCCCAUAUGGGCUGCUGGCACCGCAUGUGGAGGAUUGGCCCUCUGCACCACAGUGCUAGUCCCGUUAUUAUUUUAAAUAAGAUAAACAUUACCCAUUUAACUCAGCUAUAUUUAAUAAUUGUGGACAGUACCACAGAUAUUUAUUUUUUUAAAUUUUUAUUUUGUUCUUCUGAAUGCUGAGAGAGAGAGGGAGAAAGACCCUUCCAUUGUUUUGCUCCCUAAAAGCCCACAACAGCUGGGUCUGGGCCAGGGUGAAGCUAGGAGUGAGGAACUCAGUCAAGGUCUUCUUCCACUUGAGUAACAGGAACCCAACUCCCUGAACCCUGACUUGUUGCCUCCCAGAGUGCGAAUUACCAGGAAGCUGCACUGAGAGAGGAGCUAGCACUGAAAUCCAGGCACCCAAUAUGGAAAGUAGGUAUCCAAAGAGAUGUCUUACCUGCUGUACCAGCAGCCAUCCUGAUUUUUUUUUAAAUAAAUUAAUUCUAAGAUAGCUUUGCUGAACUUUCACUUGUAACUAAUUAAGGAACAGUGGCUACAGAAGGAAAUGAGGGAAGAAAAAAAUAUAAAAGGUGUGGUACCUAUAUUUUCCCUACACAACUCAUCUUUUACAUUCCUUUUGGAGUUUUUUUUUUUUUUAAAUAAAGAUUGAUUUAUUUAUUUGAAAGGCAGAGUUAGAGAGAGAGAGGGAGAAGAAGAGGCAGAGAGAGCUCUAAUAUCCAUUGGUUCAAUCCACAGUGGCCAGAGCUGGGCUAGUCUAAAGCCAGGAGCGAGGAGCCCAGGAGCUUCUUCUGGGUCUCCCUUGUGGGUACAGGAGCCUCAGGACUUGGGCCAUCCUCUGCUGCUUCCCAGGCACAUUAACAGGGAGCUGGAUAGGAAGUGGAGCAACCAGGACUUGAAUUGGUGCCCAUAUAGGAUGCUGGUGCUGGAGGUGGCAGCUUUACCUAUUACGCCACUGCAGUAGCCCCAUGGAGUAUUUUUUUUUUUUUUUUUGACAGGCAGAGUGGACAGUGAGAGAGAGAGACAGAGAGAAAGGUCUUCCUUUGCCGUUGGUUCACCCUCCAAUGGCCGCCGCGGCCGGCGCGCUGCGGCCGGCGCACCGCGCUGAUCCGAUGGCAGGAGCCAGGAGCCAGGUGCUUUUCCUGGUCUCCCCUGGGGUGCAGGGCCCAAGCACCUGGGCCAUCCUCCACUGCACUCCCUGGCCACAGCAGAGGGCUGGCCUGGAAGAGGGGCAACCGGGACAGAAUCCGGCGCCCCAACCGGGACUAGAACCCAGUGUGCCGGCGCCGCUAGGCGGAGGAUUAGCCUAGUGAGCCGCGGCGCCGGCUUAAAACAACUUUUAGAAACAUUUCAUGGUCGGGGCCGGUGCUGUGGCACAGCAAGUUAACGCCCUGGCCUAAAACGCCGGCAUCCCAAAUGGGUGCCGGUUCAUGUCCCUGCUGCUCCUCUUCUGCUCCAGCUCUCUGCUAUAGCCUGGGCUAGCAACUGAAGAUGGCCCAAAUCCUUGGGCCCCUGCACCCACAUGGGAGACCUGGAAGAAGCUCCUGGCUCCUGGCUUCGGAUCAGCGAAGCUCCGGCUGUUGCAGCCAUCUGGGGAGUGAACCAGCAGAUGGAAGACCUCUCUCUCUGUCUACCUCUUUCUGUAACUCUGUAUUUCAAAUAAAUAAAAUAAAUCUUUUAAAAAAAUAUUUCAUGGUCAAGCAUCAAACACUGCUGUGUCUGGCACAGCAGUGAAGAAGCUGAUUGGGAUGCCCAUAUGUUAAGAGUGCCUGUUUUUAAGUCCCAGCCCUGCUUCCAGUUCCAGCUUCCUGCUAGUGCACAUCCUGGGAGAAGUGGUGAUAGCCCAAGCCCAGCCACCCAUGUGGGAGAUCCAGAUGGAGUUCCUGGCUCCUAACUUCUGCCUGGCUCUGCCUUGGCAAUUGUGGACCAUUUAGGAAGUGAAUCAGUGGAAGGAAGAUUCUCUCUCAAUCCUCAAUUUCUCUCUCUUGCCCCUCUCUUCCCUCUCAUUUCUUUUCUCCCCUCUUGCCCACUUCCAAAUAAAUUUUUAAAAAAGAUAGAACAUUUGAGGCCGGCGCCGCGGCUCACUAGGCUAAUCCUUCGCCUUGCGGUGCUGGCACACCGGGUUCUAGUCCCGGUCGGGGCGCCGGAUUCUGUCCUGGUUGCCCCUCUUCCAGGCCAGCUCUCUGCUGUGGCCAGGGAGUGCAGUGGAGGAUGGCCCAAGUGCUUGGGCUCUGCACCUGCAUGGGAGACCAGGAGAAGCACCUGGCUCCUGGCUUCAGAUCAGCAUGGUGCGCUGGCCGCAGCGGCCAUUGGAGGGUGAACAAACGGCAAAGGAAAACCUUUCUCUCUGUCUCUCUCACUGUCCACUCUGCCUGUCAAAAAAAAAAAAAAAAGAUAGAACAUUUGAAUAGUGCAGUUAAUAGGCAUGAUCAUUAGACCAGGUAGGUGUAUAGAUUCUGUACCCAACAGUUAGGGAACAUACAUCAUUUUGAAACACACAUGAAACAUUUUUCAAAACAAAAUACCAAAAUGUAAAACAACUUAGAAGGAAGAAGUUGUGAUGAUAUAGGUGAGCAUUACCUUGAUUUUCCUUUUAAAUCUUUUCUUGAUUUGGAGCAUUACCAACAUUAAAUGAGCACAAUACAUAUAAUCAUUGUUUAUGAAGCUUUGCUCAUCCCUUUGAAACUCAUCCAUUGUUUCCAUUGCAGACCCUGACAUGAAUUGAGAGGGAACUGCUUGUGUCUUUGACAACAUAAUUGAAUUCUAUGAGCAAUCUGAUUUCAGCUGUUCAUCAAGUUUAAAUUAGGAGAAUGCCAGCUCAUGCAAUGGCUGCAAUGUUAGACAAGGACUUUGAAGUAAGACAAGCAGGAAUUUUUAAAUUCUGGGAAGAAUCCUUCCUCCAGCACCCUUGACCUUUAACUUAGACCACUUUGUAUAUCCAAAAGUCUGGGGAAGUAAUUAUUAGCUUUUCCGAACAUAUGUCACCUCCACAUUGCCAGAAAUCACCCCCACACCCUGAGUCACUAAUGCCCUUUUACUUACACUAAUAUUUGGAGGACAGUUUACAUCUAACAGAUGUUUGAGUAAUGGAAUAGGCAGGAAAGAGGGAAAAGAAGAUCCAUGCUUUCUAGGGUGUUUGUGCUAGGUAGAUGGCAAAAAGGAAAGAAAACUCGGUAUCAAAAGAUAGCUCUGCCUUAGGACAACUCUGACUGUUUGUAAAAGAAGAAAACAUUAUUUUUAUGUGAUUGGCAGAGUUACGGAGAGAGGCGGGGCGGGCAGGGAAUCUUCCAUCUACUGAUUCACUCCCCAAAUGGCCACCAAGAACUGGAGCAGGGCCAGACCGAAGCCCAGAGCCAGGAGCUUCUUCCAGGUAUGCCACGUGGGUGCAGGGGCCCAAGCACUUGGGCCAUCUUCUACUGCUUUCCCAGUGCAUUAGCAGGGAGCUGGGUUGGAAGUAGAGCAGCAAGGAAUUGAACUGGUGCCCAUAUGGGAUGCCAGUGUCACAGGCAGCUGCUUUACCUACUAUGCUACUGGCCUCAGAAUUCUGCCUACUAGAUAUUCUAGAUUUACUGGAUCCCAAGAGUCUUAAGAGCAGUUUAAUGCCUGGCAUAUUAUAAAUAAAUACUGAUAUUUGUAUUACCACGACUGAAAAACAACAUUAGGAAUUAUAUGUAAGGAUUUUAAUUUUAUGUUUAAAUUCUUGGUAUUUAAAAUAGUUUAUCAUUUAUACUAUAGUUGUAAGUACAUAUUUAGGCAAAUAAACAAAAGAAUGAGAGUUAAUUAUGUGGUCACUCAACUGAUUAUUAGGUAGCAUGAUAUAUUUUUUAAAAUCUGUAAUUCAGUUUGUAAUUUGUAGUUUUGGAGGGUCUUCUAGUGCUUUUCAAAAAAUUGUUGCCUUAAAAGCAAAAUUUUGCAAAUUACUUAUUCACAUACACAUCUUUUAUAUUUUCUCCUGUUAUAAACAAAGGAACACUAGAAUGCAAAAUAAAAGUUGGGUUUAGAUCUUGGCCUGCCACUUGCUAGCUUAGAGUGUGUAUGUGUUUGUAUGUUUUAGGGUAUGAGGACAAGUUGUAAAAUAAUUCAGUGUCCUGUACUUCUAUUUUAUGUACUAUUCAACUUCAAACAUGGUAUUUCAUAUAACUAUGUGCCUUAUACAUUUUGAUUCCAGAUACUCAGCAGAAGUAUUCCAAAAUGCUUGAAGUUAGGCAUCAGAGAGGUUAAUCAUGUCCUACUAGCAUCCAGCUGGACACCAACACAGCUAGACAGAUUUAUCUUUGGGAUUGAAAGUCUGUGGCCCCAGGACUGUCUAAUACUUAUGUUUUCCUUCCUGCUUAAGCUUGUUAACCUGUAGUUUUGAGUGAUGCGUGUUAUUAUUGCAGUGUAAUGACAUUUGCUCAGCCUUUAUUGACGAUCUGCUCAGAAAAUAGAUGAGCAGACAUCCCAUCAGAAAGCUUGCUGUGAUGAUGUCUCUGCAAUCAGCCUGGCUAAUGUGAUUCUGUGUAGUUCGGUUGCUCAUGCUCAUCUGCGAGACCAUUCCCAUCUGCAGUGACUCAUGCGGAGCUUCCGGAAUAUGGCGCUGUGUUUUAAAGAGUGCCGUGUGAGGAGGCCCAGUCUGACUUAUUCAUGGAUGGCCUUUCAGUGCAGCAGGAGGCCUAACUCAAAAAAGCAUUUUUCUACCACAGAACACCCAAUGAAUCUAGUAGAACACAGUUUGAAAAAAGGUUGGUUUCUUCUAAUAUAAGAAAGUGAGACCAGCUCUGCAAAGAAUCAGAGUGCUUCUAUUAUAAGUAACUUUAGAAAUCAUCUGAUUGAAUUACUUUGUAACAACUUUAGAAAAAGAGGCCCUUGGGAAUUGAUAGUGAGUUGGUAACAGAGUUUGAAUGAGAAUAAUUCAGAUGUCAUGUGUCUUAUUUGCUUUUUCUGUAAUGCAAUUUUUAGCAAACUGAUAAAAUCACUUAGUUACUAUGAGCCUAAACACUUUUUAAAUUUAAGAUGACCUUAACUUUUUUUAAAAAAGAUUUUAUUUAUUUCUUUGAGAGGUAGAGUUACAGACAGAGAGAGGGAGAGACAGAGAGAAAGGUCAUCUAUCCACUGAUUCACUCCCCAGAUGGCCGCAACAGCCAGAGCUGGGCUGGUCCAAAGCCAGGAGCCAGGAGCCAGGAGCUUCUUCCACCGGGUUGCAGGGUCCCAAACAGUUGGGCCAUCUUCUACUGCUUUCCCAGGCCAUAGGCAGAGAGCUGAAUCAGAAGAGGUGCAGCAGGGAUUCCAACCAGCUCCCAUAUGGGAUGCCAGUGCCGCAGGUGGAGGCUUAGCCUACUACACCACAGCGCAGACUCCUAUGACCCAUAUCUUUAUAAUCAACAGUUUCAGUUUGGAGAAGACUGGGAAAAGGGAUUUGAUUUUAAAUAUUUACUGUUUCGUUGUUGUUGUUUAAGGAAUGUCACACCAUAGUUAGCUUUUCCCAAUUCCAGUUUCAUUCUUUUUGAAUACAGAAUUUCUCUUUUUAGAAAAGGGCCUCAUCUUCUCCUUCCUUUCCCAGCUGGAGUAAAAGUUAUUAAGUCAUCAGACUCUAUUGUGAACUAAUUCAACUAUUUUUAAAACCCUGUGCUAUAGGAAUGAGCGUUCCAAGUAGAAUCCUGCAUCCUUCAUAAAUUAUUAAUGAUUGGGGUUUUUGUAUUUUGUGGGCUUUUUUAAAAGCUAUAAUCAGUUUAGGAGUCAGUUUUCUUGGAGUUUUUCCUUAUCAUCUUCUUAAAAAAGAGAGGGAGGAAAUAGGUGAAAAUUUUGAGGAGGGGAUUAUAGGGAGAAAACUCAAAUACCUGAACCUAAUGUGGUCAUACACUAAAUAGUUCUUUUUCUGUAGGUUGUCCCUGCUGACAGCCAGCUCUGCCAACCAUAAAUACCCAUACCUUUAUAUUUUUAAGAUUUUCUAUUCUUGUUUUUUCUUUUAAAAAAAAAAAACUAUUAGAAACACAGAGAGAGACAGAGAUACAGAGACAAGAGUUACAGAGAUCUUCGACUUGCUGAUUCACUUCCCAUAUGCUUGCAACAGCUAGGGCUGGGCCAGGCUAAAGCCAGGAGCCAGAAACCCAAUCCAGGUCUCUCAUGUGGGCGGAAGGGACUCAAGUACCUGAGCCAUCAACUGCUGCCUUCCAGGGUGCACGUUAACCGGAAGUUGGAUCCCAAGUGAUGGCAGGACUCGCACCCAGGCACUCCAGUAUGGGAUGGGGGAACCCAGUGACUUCACUGCAGCAAACGUCUGCCCACUCGUGCGUCUUUGUACCAGAACGUUCUGUUAUCAGAUAUCAUUUUAAGGAAAUAUUUUAUAGGAAAUUGAGAUGGACUGGACCCAGAAUAGGAACAUGGUUGGAGGUCUGGAACAUGGAGAAGUGUGGGGCGAGAAACAGAAGUAGGUACAGGAGACACAGCUGAUAGACACAGCGGUGGAGGUAGCCCGGCCUUUGACGUCAUCAGUAUUCUUGAUUUUGAGCUUCGUCAUCUUGGAAAGGCGUUUACUCUCCAGACUUGUUAUCUGACCUCUAAACUAAGUAUAUUACCACCUAUUUACCUAUUUCAGGAUUAUGAAGAUUAUAUAAAUUGAAGUAUGGUUAUUUAUUAUACAAGGGGACUUCAAAAAUGAAUUGGAAAUGUGUAAUAUGAAAAAACUAUAGAUUUUUUUAAGAAAUUUUGUAUCAAAAUAAACUUAUCUUUUAAUUGUGUUUUCCAUGAACUUUGUGGAGUAUCUGCGUGUUAACCAAUUCCAUUAGACUGCCUGUGGGAUAUGAUUGAGGAACUCUCUUACCUUCUCUUUUUCUUUGAAACGUUUACGCUAACUAGGUAACAUCAGAAAUCCAGUAAGCAUGUUUUUGCUUUAAUAUAAAAAAGAAAGGAUUAGAUGAUGGCAACAAUAAAAAGGACAGCUAACAUUUAUUGUCACAAUGUGCCAGGUGCUAUGCUAAGUAUGUAUAGACCAUAACUCCAUUAUAAUGAUUUCCAUUUAAAAAUGGAAAAACAGAGGAAAGAUGAAAAGAGAAUUGGCAUUCACACUGAGGACUUAAUGAAUGCAACACUUCGCAUACUUCCUUCUUAUAUUCCAGCAAAAAUACGUUACCAUCAUCUCGGCUCUAUUCUCUUUGAGGCCGUUCCUGACAACUUCACACUAAGAUUCAGCUAAUUCAUCUUAUGUCCUUUUUUAGCAUGGUUUAACCACCCCUGCCAACUGAAUUGUGACAUGGGCUACUUAGAUUUGGUUUUAAUUAAGUUCACAAUUUGGAGGCGGCUGUCCUAUGCUCAGACCAAGCUUGCAACUUUGGCGAACACAGACAUACAGGCCAUGCUUUCGAACAAUUGCAUGGACUUAGCUUUUGGUCAUCACGGUGACCUGUAUAGUCUUUGUUAAUCACUGUACAUACUUGAGAUCUUCAAAAAGUUAAUGGAGCGGGCGGUGUUGUGGCGUAGCAGAUUAAGCUACUGCCAGCAUCCUGUAUGGGUGCUAGAUUGUGUCUCAGCUGCUCCAUUUCCCAUCCAGCUGUUUGCUAAUGUGCCUGGGAAAAAAAGUAAAAAUGGCUCAAGUGUUUGGGUCCCUGCCACCCACAUGGGAGACCCAGAUGAGGCUCUGUCUUCAGACUGGCCCAGAACCAGUCACAGCAGCCAUUUGGGGAAUGAGCCAGUAUAUGGAUCCCUUUCUCUCUCUCUCUCUCUCUCUCUCUCUCUCUCUCUAACUCUGCCUUUCAAAGAAAUAAAUCUUUUUUUACAAAGUUAAUGGAAAAGACAUAUUAUAAAAAUGUACACAUGGAUUUUAAGAUUUUUUUUACACUAAAACAAACUUAGUUUUUUAUACCAUUUUUCCACAAACUUUCUGAAGUACCCUUGUGUUCUGUAGAUGAGAGCUCUAAAGCUGAAAAAGAAGAAAAUUUUCAGCCAGGAGCACAGCAUACCACUAAGGAAGAGUAGACGGAAACAGAAACCAGUUUCUUCUGCCUUAAAUUGAAAACUCGUUACACUGUGUUUCAGCUGCUUGCAUGGAUAUUUUGCAAUGCGCUUUUUAAGAAAUGAUUGCUGGGGCAGUUGUUUGGCCUCGCGAGUCAAACAGCCAGUUGGGAUACCCGUAUCCCGUAUCAUAGUGCCUGAGUUCAAGUUCUGGCUGUGCUCCUAAUGCCAGCUUCUGCUAAGACAUACCCUGGGAGGCGCCAGGGGAAGGAUCAGGUAAUUGGGUUUCUGCCACCAUGCGGGAGACCCAAUUCAGGUUUCUGGCUCCUGGUUUCAACCUGGUCAAUUCUAGCCUUAAUAAGGCAUUUGGGGAGUGUGAACUAGUGGAUGUGAGUGUGCAUAGUCUCCCUCUGAAAUAAAUAAAUGAAAACAAGUAAGUAAAUGCUUUAAGAGUUAAGUUGUAUCAAGUUGGUAUAUGGUAUAUGCUGUGGCACAAAUAGUAAAUGCUAUGGCAGUCCAGAGAAGAAAGAUCAUCGUGGACUAUGAUGAACAGGUGGACUUUCUAGAGUAUGUGAGACCUAAACUGGGCCUUAAGUGGAUUGAAGAACUAUCAAGAGAUUCUGUAGUGCUCUUCUGAGUGACAAGGUUUUUCUGUGCAGAGGACUUUGUGCAAGUUCUAAGUUCAGAGGUUAUGAUCUUGUCUGUGUUAUCCUGAAGAAGCAUUUCACCCUCUCUGUUCCAAUCUCUAGGAAUGAUUAUGGCCAAGAUCACCAUCCUUUUUCUAUGCGUUAACAUCUUUCUGUAGUACUUUUUCUCCACCAGAGUAUUCCUAAGAAGGGAGUAUAUUUAUGACCCUGGCCUUAACUUGAAAUAUUUUAAGCCUUAUAUUUUAAUUUUUGAAUACAUAUAAAGCCUGCAUUCCACUCCAUAAUAUUUGUAAUUGUUUGAUGUUAAACCUGUUUUUAAAAGGAAGAAAAAAACCCUUUGAAUGAAAAUGACUUUUCAGGGAGGCUGGUUGUAUUUAAUUUUUUAAAAAAUUAAAAUAUGAUUCGUAGAACAUAAAGUUAUUCCAGAGAGUUUUAAAGUGUACAGCUCAGCGGCAUUUAAUAUGUUCACAGUGUUGUGCAGCCACCCCACUCUAGCUCCAGCACGUUUCCAUCACCCCAAGAGGAAGCUCUUGGCACAUUCAGCGUUCAUUCUCCAUGUCCCCUCCCCCGCCCUGCCAGCCCCUUAAUCUGCCUUCUAUUUCUGGAUUUAAUCUGGAUUUUAAAUUCAUAUUAUAUAUUACUUAAUAUAUAAUAUAUAUUUUUAAAUAUAUUAUUUUUUGUUUGAGCAUCUGUUUUCAGUUCUUCUGGGUAUAUACCAAGAAAGAGAAUUAGUGGGACAUAUGUAACUCUAUAAUUAACCUUUUGAGAAACUGCCGGACUGUUUUCUGCUGUUGCCACAGUACUGUACCAUUUUACAUUCUUCCACCAGUGUAUGGGUUUGCAUUUCCUCACAAGCUUGCCAACACUUCCUUUGGUUUGAAUGAUUUGUCUGUAGACAUUUCGCUGUGGGUAUGAAGUGAUACACCUCAUUGGAGUUCUGAUUGCCUUCCCCUAAUGACUAAUGAUGUUAAGCAUCUUUCUGUGUACUUUUUGGCCAUUUGCACACGUUAUUUGAAGAAAUGUCUGUGUAAGGACUUUGCCUCUUUCAAAAUUGGGUUAUUUGUGUUUUUAUUGUUGACUUGUAAGCGUUCUUCAUGUAUUUCUGGAACUAAGACACUUAUCAUAUACUUGAUUUCCAAGUAUUUUCUCCCAUUCUAUGGGCUUUCUUUUCACUCUUUUGAUAAUAUCCUUUUAUGCACAAAAUAUGUUUUCUGGAUGAAGUCUAAUUUUCUUCUUUGGUUAUUUGUGCUUUUAGUGUAUAUCUAAGCAAUCAUUGCCUAGUUCAAGUUUCAUGAAAAUGUACCCCGUGUUUUCUUCUGUCAGUUUGAUAGUUUGACCCUUUGGUCUUUGUUCCAUUUUGAGCCAAUUUUUGUGUAGUGUUUUAAUGUUAAUAAUAGAAUCCAAGUGGUGGGUUCUUUGUAAAAUCCUUUCAAGUCCCAGAUUUGCUGGAUGUUUGAGAUUUUCCAUAAUAAGAUUAUUGAAGGGGAAGAAAACUAAAAUUUAGGUACUGACUAGUUUCUCUUACACUCACCUUCUCCAUAGCUUCCUACGGUGGGUGUAAUGGGAGAUAGAGGCAAAUGCUGGGUAGGACGAGUACAGCAGACAGCAUUCAUCCAGGCCAAGCCAGCAUGUUACCUUCUAGGAACUCCUAACUCCUCUGUUAGCCUGUGACUUCCUCUGUUCCAUUGCACAGGGUUUGUCCUCAAGAAACUUGUCCCUCUGUCCUCAGUUUUAUCCCUAAUUACUCUUUCUGUUGGAAAAGUGUAUUGUUAUCCUGGAAUGAUUUCAUCUUUUCCAUUCCCACCCCCACUCCCACCCCCCACGGCCAGAAAAAAGAUCCGGUUUUCAUGUGAACAAGGGCACUUCUGCAGAUUGAAAACUCGAUCGGGAAGAAGAAAACUUGCUUUUGUAGAGUAUACUCAGCCUGGUCAGGGCUUGUGCCUAUUGGUAUUUAACAGCUGCUAAUUUCUUGGACCAGAACUAGGAUCCAGAGCUCCCUAUUCCACCUUAUCAUAAUGCUGCUCUUUAGGACCUAGAAGACAAUCUGGUGGAGUUUUGGAAGUCUAGGAUAUAUUUCACCACUGGAGCCCUGCUGUGUGGCAAGCCACUACUUUAGAACCCAGCCCUGGAGGUCAAAUCAGUUUUAGGGGGAAGAGAGAAUACAGCUCAGUCUCAGUUACUGCAUAAGAAUGGUUUCAACUCUCAUAUCUUUUUGUUUGUUUAUUUGUUUUUAAGAUUUAUUUAUUUAUUUGAAAGGCAGAGUACAGAGAGGGAGAAACCCAGAGAAAGGUCUCACAUUCACUAAUUCACUCUUCAAAUGGCUGCAACGGCUGGGACUGGGCCAAGCUGAAGCCAGGAUCCAGGAGGUUUAUCCAGGUCUCCCACGUGGGUGGCAAGGGCCCAAGCACUUGGGCCAUCUUCUGCGUUUUCUCAGGCACAUUAGCAGAGAUGUGCAUCGGAAGUGGAGCAGCCAGGACUCAAAUUGGCACCCAUAUGGGAUGCUGACGUCACAGGUCACAGGCAGAACCUUAACCCACUGCACCACAGUGCUGGCCAAAUCCUCCUAUCUUUAGAUUUUUUUUACUACUUUACCUAAAAAAGCACCAACCACCCUCCUGCUAUGAAAAGCAUGAAUUUCUGUGCCACAUGUCGGAUGAAACCCUUUAGGGUUCAGGAAUCCCCUGUCAUCCUUUAUUCAGUCUGUAUUUAAUAACCUACUCAAAGGUCCUUUUUAAACAGCCAGUUCCUGAGAAAAGGUGAGGGAACUCCAGGUCUGACUUAUAUACGACCUUAAAUCCCACAGGGUUCUGGCUGGUGGUCUGAUUUUACAUUUGGAAGGGAGAUUUUGUUUUGGGGUUACUGUCUUAUUCCCCAAAAGAGAAUUCCUUUUUCUCUAGCCCUUGGUACCAUAUAUAGCACAUAGUAGGCAUUUGGAUUUCUGAUCAACUGGGUAAUAGUUAGCUUCCACACAGCAGGGUCUGGACUUGCUCAUCUCUAUAUGCCAUCCCCUAGCUUUGUGCCUCCUAGCAUACAAUAGGUAUUCAUUAACUUUUUAAAAGAAUCACAUUGAGAUUUUUUCCCCCUUCAUUUUGGGUAAAUGCCUGUCCUUUUAAUCAAGCGUUUCUCAGCCAAGAGUGUCAGAGCCCCGAGUGAGUCACUGAGUCAGGAUCAGAGGGUUAAUGAUAGCCCAGAAAAAGAUGUACUGAGCUCAUCAGCUGAUUCGUGGGGCUACAUGUCAGCUCUUUGGGGGCGGUGGCCUAGAUAAAUUGAAGCCUGACUGUAAUGAAUGCAUAGCUCCCAGACAGGAAAAACUGUGAGUCUUGUGGAAUUCCUGGGGAAAGGAAAUGGAAAACUCCUUUCAUCAGAUUUCUGUUCUUGUUUGUUUUUUAAGAUUUAUUCAUUUAUUUUGAGAGGCAGAGUUACAGACAGACAGAAGGAGAGACAGAGAGAGGUCUUCCCUCUGCUGGUUCACCCCCCUCCCCCAAUGGCUGCAACUGGGCCAAUCUGAAGCCAGGGGUUCUUCCAGGUCUCCCACAUGGGUGCAAGGGCCCAAGCUCUUGGACCAUCUUCUGCCUUCCCAGGCCAUCAGCAGGGAGCUGGGUCGGAAGUGGAGCAGGAGGCACUCUGUGUGGAAUGCUGGUGCCACAGGUGGAUGCUUCAUUUACUACACCACAGCACUGCUCUUCUUGAUUCUGAGGUGGCUUACGAGGGUGCUGUGUUUCAGCUUGCUGGUGUGGAAAGGAGGAGCAUAACCAGAACAAGACUGGGAGAAGGAAACAGAACGAGGGAAAAGUGAAAGAGGUAGCUUCUGAAUAUAAUGAGAGAGAACGGUGAAAUAGUAGUGGGGCGGGAGGAGCAGAUCCUGGUUUUGUGAUUGGUUCCUGAUCUGGUGCUAAGUGUAGAGCUGUUUCCUCUGCGUGGCCAGAUGUCCACUCUGUUAGUUUUGACUUCAGCAGUUACCAUUCUCACAACCCUUUUCUAGCCUUGCAUGACCUCGGGAUCCAGAGCAAGCUUUGCACGUUUUGUGGAGAAAGAUAAGAAGAGGCGUUAAGCGAUAGCAAUCCUUUCCACACGAAAGAUUCUCAGAGGAGUUCCUGGUAUUUUAGAGGGUUCCCUCUUGUUGAUUACAAAAGUCGCUGUUAACUCUAGAUCUUCUUGAUUGAAGUUUAACCUCAAGAAGAAACAGAGGUCAUUGCAGGAUCAAUGACACCCAGGAAUUUUCCGUAGAACUGUUGAGUGGAAGUUAUGUAAAAUCAGCACAGUUGCUUGUAACUCCAUGCCUGUUUCCCCACCUUCAUGGAGGUGUGAAAAGACUUGAGAUUUAGCAUCACUGUAGUAUCUCCUGACUCAUAAAACAUUAAAUGUAGGAUCAUUGGAUACAGUUUUUAUUUAUUUAUUUGAAAGAGUUAGAGAGGGAGAAACAGAGAUCUUUCAUCCACUUCACUCUCCAAAUGGCCAUAGUGGGUUUCCCACAUUGGUGCAGGGGCCCAAGGACUAGGGCCAUCCCCCGCUGCUGUCCCAGGUGUACUAGCAGGGAGCUGAAUCAGAAGUGGAGCAGCCAGGACUUGAACCAGCACCCAUAUGGGACACCAGAGCUGCAGGCUGGGGCUUUAACCUGCUGCUCCACUGUGCCAGGCCCCCUGGAUACAGUUUUUAUUCCCAGAGAAAACUACAAGGCAAUUUAUUCCAGUAAUGACUACUGAGUCAUUUAGUGUGUGUUUAUGGAGUGACAACUUUGCUGGAUUCUUUGGAUUCGAUGUUGAGAUAGAUUUGUUCCCUAUUUGUACAUUACCAAGCUGUAAUCCUUAGGAAAAGAAAUAUCCUGUCUUGUUUAAAACUGGUUUCAAAAUCUUUAAAGAAAUGCUGGAAAUUACUUAGAUUAACUGCUCUAGACUUUGUACCACUCAUGCUGGCCAGGGUGAAAUCUCACCAUUCAUUGUCUUUAAAGGCUCUGGGAGCCCGAGAACUCGCUCUAUACCAGCCUGCUUUACCAAAUGACAUUGAGAACAGAAGCAGCACUCUGGAUGAUACGAGUGGGUAGUGCCAGAGUCGUUAUAUAAGCUGCUAGAAAUUCUGCCUCGAGGUUGCAUUGUGAGUUGUCAGGUUUAAAAUUCUCUCCCGUUAGCUCUAUGGUUUUUGCUCUUUGCCAUUCUGGGAAAAGAGAGAACUUUCUGCCCUGGAAUUGGUGGCAGCUUCCCCAGAGACAGGAGGCAGGCUUCCUGGAGUGAAUCAGAAAUUGGGAAUUCCUAAUCUUUCUGUCUUGUCCUCUGUGCCACACUCUGCUCAGUCUUUUUAACAAGAUUUAUUUAGUUAUUUACUUAUUUAUUUGAAAGGCAAAGUUACAGAGAGAUCGAGAGAGAGAGACUGAGAUCUCCCAUCCACUGGUUCAUUCCCCAAAUGGCCAUAACAGUUAUAGCUGUACAGAUCAAAGCUAUGAGCCAGGAGCUUCUUUUGGGUCUCCCAUGUUGGUGGCAGGGGCCCAGGGACUUGGGUCAUCUUCUGCUACUUUUCUAGGUGUAUUAACAGGGAGCUAGAUCAGAAGUGGAGCAGCUGGGCAUCCCAUAAGGAUGCCAGUGCUGCAGGCUGUGGCUUAACCUUCUUUGCCACAGUGCCAGCCCCUCUAUUUAGUCUUUAUACAUACAUACAUACAUAUAUACACACACACACACACACACACACAUAUAUAUAUAUAUAUAUAUAUAUAUUUGAAAGGCAGAGAGAGAGAGAGGUCUUCCAUCCACUGGUUCACUCCCUAGAUGGCUGCAGUGGUCCAGAGCUGUGCCGAUCUGAAGCCAGGAGCCAGAAGCUUCUCGGUCUCCCACAUGGGUGCAGGGGCCCAAGGACUUGGGCCAUCUUCCACCAUUUUCCCAGGCCAUAAGCAGAGAACUGGAUCAGAAGUGGAACAGCUAGGACUUGAACUGGCGCCCCUAUGGGAUGCUGGCACUGCAGGCAAUGGCCUGACCUGCUAUGCCACAGCACAGGUCCCUCUAUUUAGUCUUAAUCCUGAGUUCCUGUUACAGGCAGAGUAUUGGAUGGUAUUGUUGUUCAGAGAGAUAGCUAUGAUAUAUACAUUGCACUCAAAGAACUUAGUCUGAUUAGGGAAAUGGGAUAAAUACAGUAAAAACUAAAUAAAAAACAAAAGCAGAAAAAUUUCAGACAAGUAGUAUUUGUGCAGUGUGCAUACAGCAAUGGCAAGAACAGGGCCUUACAGUUGAAAACCUGAGUUCCAGAACCUGGUUUUCUGUCCACAAAGAGACCUCUUUUUUCUCUAGUUUACUCGUCUGUAAAAUGGGGAUAAUGACCUUGAACCUGCCUGACUCUCCAGGACAUCAUGAGUAUCCCGUGGUAUGGUAUGCAAGAAACUUUGGAAAACACAAAUUAAAAUAUGAGCACAGGGAGAGAGUGAUCUCACCCCAUCCCACAGAUGAAAAAGCUUGCUCGUAGCCCUCCAUGCUUGUGAUGAAACAGCCAUUUGUAGCUCUGACACAAAGUGGAACAAGUUACUUAGCUUUUCUCUCCUUUCAUUGACCUUGUCUGCUACAAGACUGUUAAGUCUCUGAUAUGCUGUUGGCCUCAUAUAAAUUCUGUUUUGGUAGAGUGUGAGUAAGCUUAUGGCUCUGGAUUUUAUCCUAAGGAUAUUGGUUAUAGAAAUGUAUUGUCACCUGAUUCAUUGGACUUAGAAAAGGUUUAAGACAAAACUGUACAAUAAAAAUAUAAUUUUAAUUGUAAGUAUGAAAUUUUGAAUUUUCUGGUAGCCAUGGUUAAAAAAAAGUCAAAGGACACAGGCCAAAUUAUUAAUAGAUUUUAUUUACCACACUAUGUCCAUGAUAUUCCCAUUUCAACAUGGAAUCAGUGGAAAAAAUUAUUAAAAUUUGUUCUUUUUUUCAUAGUAUGUCUUCAAAGCAGAACAUCUCAUUUGCACGCCCACUUUUCAGGUGCUUAGUAGCCACCUGUGGCUUGAGGCUGCUGUAUUAGAAAAUGCAGCCUUCUGCAACAUCCAUUCUCCCCUCUUUUUGUUCUCUCGUACCUUCUUUCUUGUCCUGUUUUCCUUUAGUGGAUCUGCCAGUUCUCCGUUUCAUUAGUCCCUGGAGAGGCAGGUUUCUUUGAUGCCUAGAGCCAGGUAUCCUUGUUCGGUCAGGUAAAACACAAAACUUGCGGUUACUAUUUGACAUCAGCUCAUGUUCCCGUUCCCGGUGCUGUUCCUUCUCUGUGGACUUCCCGCUCUUUUGAAGUGAGCUUCCCUCUUGCUUUACUUGUUUGUCUCUUCUUUGUUUUGUGCUCCUUGAGAAUGAGGAAAGCACUUUAAACCUUUCUGCAGUUCUAGCAACCAGUCCCCAGCUUUUUUUAUAUAUAUAAAUAAGUAAGCUUCUCCUACACACCUCACUAGCUCCUUUUCCCCUCAUUAGUAAUUGUUUUUUCACCUUUUUCUCCAACAAUAGCUUUGCCAUAGCAUUAGGCUAUUGCACAUACAAGAAACUUUUAUUUGUAGUUUUAACUACUUGUAGAAAAACUUACAGCUAGAAUUUUAGAUCCACUGCGUGGGGUUUUUUCCAGAGAUUCCUUGUCCUUUCGGGUUGUCUGAUUGAACGCAGGUGCGGAAGCCGUUGGAGUCUGUUUGGAGGCUUGUCUCCGUAUCUGCCUGUGUUGUGAUUCCUGGAGUUUGCUCAGGUUCGUUUCCUCUCUUCUCUCCAAGAUAUCUGGCUUUACCCUGUCUGUCUGGACCUUCCUUCACACUGAGUUUUUUAUGCAGUCAACUCCUAUUGACUUCAAGUUGAGUGCUUAUAAUAGCAACUUAUCAUGAAACCACAAAGUCAUAGAAGAAUUACCUUAGAGGUUCACAUGCCGGGGUUUUCAUAGUGUUUGCUUUUUGAACAAAUCUUUAGACAGAGCCUUAUAAUAUAACUAGGAAAAGAUGGAAUGUCUUUGGUUGAAAUGGUGCUGCAGGUCCCCAGAAAUACUCUGGGGCUCCACAGAACAUGGUUUGAGGACCACUGUUCUAGUUCAGCUCCCACCCAGCACAAGUGGAAUAACAGAAGACUUUAAGAACAACGCGCCUAAUGCACACAGCAAGCUAGCAACGGACCUGGACUGGAAUGCAGGUUUCCUUUCCAGGCCAGUGCUCUGUUAACCACAACUUACUGUUUAGAACUUCAUUUCCUAAGGGUGGAGGGAACAGUAACAAUAAGUCUUUUAUUGUGUUCUCCUUGUUGAGAUCUGACAGGGUCCACCUCUGCUUCCCCGCUAGAAAACCAGGUUGGCCCCCUCGUGUUAUUGUUUUUCCCUGGGGCCCAGGCUGGGGCUUGCCUUAGCCUUUGUUCUGUUCCCAGUUUUUGUGGUGCCAAGAAGGAUAGGGAGAGAGCGGAUUCAGGCAGGUCAUGGUGGCACAGAUGUUUCCUGUGCCUUGGCCAGUCUGGCUGUGUCUUUCACAGCAAGCCAAAUGCCACGGCCAGGUGUGUUUUUCAGGGCUUCCAAGCCCUUGGAGGUGGUAGGUGUUUGUAACCGCAAUUUCCUCAUUAGCUUCUGUGUUUCAGCGGCCUCUAGCCACUUACCUGAGGGAAUACGUCGCAGCCUCAACUCUGAGAGUCAUCCAUCAUCCAGAGCUCUGUGUGAGCCGGCCAUAGCCUACCUCUGCAUUCUUAUUUCCCACUGUCUGCUUCAUGUAUGCUGUGUUUUCUCCCAAGGUACUGUGUUUUCCACCCCUUCUUCCUCACCUCUGCUUAUUAAGAUCGCACUCAUCCUUCCAGAUCAUACUUAAAAGCCGCUUUUGUCAAUAAGCCUUUCUUAAUUUCCAACUUUGUGUCGUCUCCCUCUGUUGAAGAAUCAUAGCUGCUUAGCCUCGUCUGUUAUCAUUCCCUGCUUCAUAGUUUAUGUACGACAACUUUGCACCAUGUCCUCCCUUGCUUAUGCUGUCCAUUUGCCCAGAUUUCUUCCAGCGUAUCUUCCUGACCCCUUCCAGGCUGGAUUAGGCUCCUUUCAUAUAGAUUAUACCUUUUUACUUAUUACUGUAUUUUAUCUGUUUGUGUUUGAGUCCCACACUAGACAGUUUUCCAAGAGGCUUAAUCGAUGCUUUGUCUUUCUAACAUCCUGCAGCGUUUUACUCAUGGCAGAUGGGUGCUUUCAUAAAUAUUGUGGAAAGAGCGAAUAAAUAAUUUUUGAAUUGUUAUAAUGUCUUGAGUUAUAUUCCUCUUUUUAUAGCUAUUUAUCUACUGCUAGAGUACAAGCCCUGUGAGAACAGGGAGGGUGAUUGCAUCUUAAUCAUCUUUUUGCCCCCUAGAAGGCCUUAUUCAUAGCAAGUUCAUUAGUCACAGUUCUCCCCAGAAACACACACGCUGGGAUUGGUGGAUGGAUGGAUGGAUGGAUGGAUAGAUAGGAUUUUAUUUAAGGAAUUAGCUCCUGUGAUUGUGGGAAUUGACUAGUCCAAAAUAUGUAGGGCAAGUUAUAGACUAGAAAGAUGGGCUUAUCUGAUGUUGCAGACUUGAGUCUGAAAUCUGUAGGGCCAGCCAGCGGGCUGGGACUUCUAUUGAGGUCUUAUGGCAGAAUUUCUUCUUCUCUGGGAAACUCCACUUUUUCCUCAUAAGGCCUUCAACGGAUUAGAUUAAGAUCACAGAUGUUUUCCGUGGUAAUCUUCCUUACUUGCAGUCAACCGAUUGUAGAUGUUAAUCACAUCUUAAAAAAUACCUUCACAGCAACACCCAGACUAGUGUUUGACCAAACAACUGGAACCAUAGCCUCCCCAAAUUGAUACUUAAAAUUCACUAAUCACAGCAAGUGACCAAUCAAUGUUGAAUUGAAGUAUCCUUUUGAAUUUCUUUUGUAAACCUCAGAAAAGAGGACAAUCCUACUUCUGUUCCCAGCAGUAAUUUCAACCCAGUAAUUUAAAAAUCCCCCACCACUAAACUCUUAACAACUCUGAAUACGGAAUAACAACAUCCUUUACAAUACAUAGCUAACCUGAAAAUAAAGUAACGGAAUCUCCAGAGGCCCAAAGACAGAAUGAGUAGCAAGCCAGUGUGAGGCUAUUUGUUAUAACAGGCCUCCUGGGAAACCUUUGUUGGUAACCUUGGGGCUUGAAUUCUAAUAUCCGUACAGCAAAAGGAGGUGAUGACUUCAGUCUUCACAAGACAAGGCGUUAAAGCUGAGACCUGCAAGUGAAUACACAUGUUGAUACAUAGACAGAAGAAAAUUGUUUAUCUCAGCCUGUGCUCUGGAUAGAAAAAAAAAAUUCUCCUUUGAGAAUUCAUAGUCAUAGGUCUGUCUUCCUUUGGAUUUGGAGUGUGGAUCUAUACUACUGGCUGAUCAAUUUUUGAGCUGUAUUUUAUAGCAAAAAAGCAGACUUCCUUAGAAGCUAUUUGUUUUAAAAUGGGAUUAGAAAUUGUUGCAUCCAGCUGCUUUUUAUUACAAAAAUUUCUUAAAUUUCAAAAGUUAAAUAUAAUAGAAAAGCAUAUGUGAAAUCAAAUAAUUUAGAAAAUUAUUGGUAAGCUGUGAGACUUUUUAAUGGAUGCCAUAUUUUAGAAGUAGUGAAAAGAGAUGUACUUUUAGAGGAUCUGCUCUGGAGACUGUCUGAUUUUGAAUCCUGAAUCUCCCACCCAUGGGUUGUAUAACCUUGAAUAACUUACUUGAUCUCCCUGUACAUUAAUUAACUGUAAAAUUGAGAGAUAAUACUAACUACCUUAUAUGACUGAUACGAGGAUUAAUUGAAUAAGGUGUAUAAAGUACAUAGCACAAUUUAAUUAUUAUAAAGAACUUAAUAAAUAUUAGAUACUAUUAAAUUUAUUGUAGUUAAUGAAAUUCUGGUCCUCAUACUCUGGAUAAAUAAUAUACUUUUGGUAGCACUAUUUUAUUUUUAUUCUUUGUGUUAAAGCUGUUUGAGGUUUUUCCUUUUCCUUUCCCUUACCCAAUGCCUUGUAUACAACUAGACAAAUAAUAGGUACAAAUAUUGGAUUUUUGUUGAUUAAGUUUAUGAGGAUUAUAGUGUUUUAAAAGAUUUAUUUAGGGUCCAGUGUUGUGGCAUAAUGGAAAAGCCUGCACCUGUGGCACUGACCAUCCCAUAUGGACAGCAGUUCACGUCCUGGCUGCUCUACUUCGGAUCUAGCUCGUUGCUAAUGGUUUGGGAAAACAGUAAGGGAUGGCCCAAGUGUUUGGAGAUGUGGAUAAAGCUCCUGGCUCCUGGUUUCAGCCUGGCCCAGCCCUGGCCAUUGCAGCCAUCUGGAGAGUGAACCAGCACAUGGAAGAUCUCUCAAUCUCAAUCUCUAUCUCUGUCUCUGUCUCUCUCUUUAUGACUCUGCCUUUCAAAUAAAAUUUUAAAAAUAAUUUAUAGAAUGUUUCAUUAUAAUAGCAUUAAUAAUAAAAAACAACUUUUCAAAGGAAUGUGUCUAAACACCAGGCUGAUCAGUUUGAAUUGGGUUUUAAAGCUGUGUUUUAGAGGUUGUUGAAGGUCAGGAGUAUUCCAGUGGGUGAUUAGAGGUUGUUAAAAGGAUAAGCAAGUUCACCAAGGAGAGGAAAGCCAAAACAGCACCAUGUGUUUGUGCGCUUCUCUUCUGAGGCAUGAGCUUCCCACUCUGGGCUGGACUUUGUAUAAUGAAGAGCCCAUUAGAUUGGGAAGGCAUCAGCCUUGGCACUGUGUUCUUGGGCCAUUUUUCUUCUUUACGUCUCAAUUUCCUUGACUGUAAAAAUUAGAAGGUAGUAUCUAAGGGCCAUUUCUCCAUUUGGAACCUAGGUAGUUGUUGCUAAACUUGAGAAUGUCUUGGGAACCCAGGGCAUGGCUCUUCCAAGAAACUGCCAGUUUUCCUUAUAGCCUGCCAGAAUUCAGUAGUUUGUGCCUAUUCUGGUGAAUAAUAUCUCCCCCUGAAUGGGUGCCAGUUGGAAAAUUGUAGAAUGGAAUGUGCCACCUGGGUUUGGAUUUGGAAAUCCAAAGUGUUAUUGCCUUGAGAUAUAGGAUGUUUCUGCUGAGCCACAGUGGUGAGUGGGCUGAUAAAACCAGCCACAGCAGUUUGUAGUUGGACCAGGAAAAGAGGAUCAAGUCUUCUUUGCUAAUGAGAGCAGAAUGUGGGAAGAUCUUGUUUUGUCGUAGCAGUUUGAUUUAUGAACCAUGCAAUGGUGAUGUAGAAUCACAACCAGAGUCGCUGCAUCGUUAGAGUGAUAAAUAAAACUCCCUAAGCUUCUGUUAAGCUCAGCUGUUUACGUUCUUUGCCGCACUUGAUCUCAUAAGCACUCUAAAUGGCAAUCAUGUCCUCAGUUUCUGCAUCCUAUUAUAUCAUUUAGUGAUUUCUGUCUUUUGAUCGCCAGUCUUCAGUAUGAAGGAGGAUUGCCUUUUUGCUGUAAAUGAGGUGAAAUGGACCAACGGCAAAGGAAGACCUUUCUCCCUCUCUCUCUCUCACUGUCCACUCUGUCAAAAAAAUAAAAAUAAAAAAAGUAAAAAAAAUAAAAAUGAGGUGAAAUGGAAAGUAAUAUUGUCUGUGUCUAACUGUUUGAACGGGUCCAAUAUUCCCACUCUCUGACCUCUUGUUUCCUCAUAAGUAAAAUAAGUAAAAGGCCACUAAGCAAAACUUUCCCUCUCAAAGGUUGAAGGAAUCAUCAUGUUAAUUUCUCAUAUUCUGAUGAUGAUAAAAUAUAUGAAUGCUUCAACAAGUGGCAUAUUGAUUUGUACUUAAAAUAGAACAUUAAGAUGGAGGAUGUUCUUGUCACACAUUGAAGUAAAUUACCAUAUUUGUUCUAUAUUUAUAAAUGUGUGAUCAGCAUUUGAAUGAUGAAUUCAUUUUGUUGAAAUGUUGCCGUUUGAUAGGACUCACACAGGCACAUGUUUAACCCUUUGAUUUUUACAUAAAAAGAGGGAAGAACCUAAAGUGUGUGGGCUGGAGUGUGCUAAGUACUUUACAAACUCACUUAUUCAUUUAGUAAAUAUUAGGACACCUAACAUGUACAAGACACUGUAACAGAGUCGAGCAUAUCAUAGAUAUAGCAGCUACCUAAAUAGCAAGGGUCCUAUUCUCUUUCUCUCCCUUUCUCCCUCCUUCCUCCUCUCUCUCUUCCCCAUCCUCUCCUUCCCUGCCUCCCUCGCUCUCUCCUCACUGCUCCCCUGGUGUUGUGUGUGUGUGUGUGUGUUGUGUUUAGUGUGCACAUGCUGUCAAGGAGAUGUGGGAUGGAGUUAGUUUGGCCUACUUCUAGUCCUGCUCCCUCUGCUUUUGGAAGCCCUGGCUGUUGUCAGGGGUUUGGACAAGGACUGAAGCUGAGCAGGGGCAGAGUAGGGACCCAUGGUCAAGACCCAAGGCCACCCGCUGGACCCAUGAAACCAGGAAUGGAGGUGUUUCUGUGAGCUAGUCCUGCAGCCCUCUCAACAGGCCACCUGCUGGACCAUGGUUUCAUGUGCAUGACCAUCUAGAAUUUUAUUUUCUGGAGCAAAUGAAUCUAACAAGCAGAAUAAAUACACAGAGUAUAAAGCAAAGGACAGACCAUUAGAGAAUCUAAGAAAGGUGCUGUCUAAACCAAGAGGGACUUUUCUCAUUGAGAGGCAAACAGAAACUGAGAGGAGGGGCUUGAUAAUAAUCAGGUGGGCGUUAAGGCCUGGCCAGGUAUAUAUGAGGUCCAGACCUAUCUCUUCAAAUGGGGUGCUGGAAGAGACAUCAUAAGAGAGAUGUUAACCUCCUUAGGGAAGAUACCCUGGUGACUUCCACUGCCUAACUGGCCUGGAGGAGGGCUGGCCUGAAUAGGAGGUCAGUAUUCCAUAGGCGGAUCUCUAAAAGCAAAUCUACAGCCCUGCCUGGAUUGUUACUGACCUUAGGCUGCCCCCCACCACGAUGGUGAUUUCUCUGGAAGCUGGGCAGAGUGAGGGACUUUUUAGCGUGGGGCCAAUAGGGUUUGCAGUUCUGACCCCGGAGUCUUUCAACCCCUAGGGCAGUUCUGUUUCCAGUGGCCUGGCUCUUGGCAGAGCUGACAGCUGCUUGCCCAAUGCCCUGACUCCUCAUAUUGAAAACAGGUGCCGUUUGGGGGUGGACUGGCCUUGUUGGGUCUCCUUGAUGGCAGAUCAUCAUGUAAGGCAUCCAUUAAUUGGCCUCUACCUAUUCUUACAUUGCUUUUGCUGCCUCCUCUUUCUGCUGGUCUCUGUUACCAUAGAACACAGAGAAACCCUUUAGGAAUGUCAGCCAAGGGGGCGCUCAAUCUCAUCCCUAAUCUUUGGUGGCCUGGGCUGGAAAUCUGUGGUCAUAGGCAUGUUAUGACAAUAUUCUUCCUAUGAGAUAAGAUUGUGCUCAUGAGAAAAGCUGUGUCCUUCUGUGUAAGACCAAACAUUAAGACUACCUUAUCCAAACUGUGUUAUAUAAGGUCUAAAGAUCAAACUAUACAUCCGUUUGGAGAGUCCUACGGAAUAGAAUCAGUUUUCCAUCUUGAAGAGAAUGGAGGAGAAAUGAGGGGACAAGUCAGGCUUCCCAGAUUGCCUGCUGUCAAUAGCUUAACAACAAGUGAAAACUUAGUAAAGAAUUUUAGCUGUCAAAUAACUUACAAAAACAUUUACCAAAAGGUCCAAUGCCUUCCAAAAGUUUCCUUUAUAUUUCUUGAAUAUUUUUAUAUUUCUUUAAUAUCUAACACAAGUGUAAUUCAAUUAAAACAGAAUUCUCCCAUGUAGCCAUACACUAUGUAUACACGUAUAACACAUUACAGGAGAGAGAACAACAGAACAGUUUCAGUUAUUAGCAGAGAUCUUGGCUGCCACUGGAAAAGGAGGGGAAAGCUAGAGGGAGGCUGGGCAUGGAGAAUAUUUUUGGGGCGAAGUUGCUCAGGACUUAACACUGCUCUGGACUUUGGUUGCUUGUGUGCUUUUUUUUUUUUUUUUUUUUUUUUUUUUUUUUUUUUUUUUUUUUGCUAGCCCUGCCAAAUACAAUACUAGAGAUGGCUGGAACAGAGGUUUCAUCUUCAUACAAGAUGUGGCUCCAUUAUGUUAGGUUUUAGGAUUUUAGUGUUUGUAGAAGAGGUGGUGGCUCGUUAAAAAAGACUUUAUUUUAGGGAAGACGGAAUGAGACGGGGUAGAGGAAGAGUAGGGCUGAGCUCUCCCCAGCAGGGGUGGGGUGGGGGUGGGGGUGUUGCAGCCAGGCUUCCUUGAGUUAAAACAGCAGAGUCCUUUCUGGAGGCGCAGAGCACCUCAUGGACCCGGAAAGGUGGGCGGAAGAUGUGAGAACGACUCCCAGGUGAAGUUUACGGUGUUCGGAAUGUCCGAGGUCGGGGACUUUCCAGAGCAGUAAGCAUUCUGCUAGCCUUUACACUAUCCUGCGCCAAGCAGAAGAGAAUGGCGGGACAGCGGAGGCGUCAGGAAGAGGAGAGAGGCGAUUUUGGCUGCGAGAGGCGGGGGAAUGGGGAAGAGCCAGACAGUGGGCAGGGUGAGCAUUCCUGAGAGAAGAUCAAGAGUGGAAGAAGGGAAAGUCUGGAAGAAGCUUCAAGCCUUUCUCCUGCCCGGGGCCUUGGAAUGAGGAAAGCUGACCUCAGAGGAGGACGAAGGCAUAGAUGUAGGGGAAUCACAUGUGUCUGCCAGAGAGGACUCACCAGAGAGAGGCUCGGGAAAGUCAGUAUCACCCGGAGCGGGGGGUGGGGGUCCGACAGGGAGGUUUUUCUUCCUUGGGGAGAACAGGAUAAAGAGAGUUCAGGGGAGAAUGGGGGUGGCAACUGCCCCUGCUGCCACUGGCCAGAGGGAAGAGGACUAAGUGGAGGGCUGUGUGUUCCUGGGAUGCCGGCUUCUCAAGAGAGGAGCGGGAAGGGAGAGGUGGGGAGGUAGAAGACUUAAGGGGAGGCUCCAGGCCCUCUUCCUCCAUGAGAGCUUGGAGUGUGGCAAGUUGACCCUGGAGGAGGAAAGAGGCCUGGAAGAGGGGACCUCUGACCAUUUGCCAUUUCUCUAUGUAAAGUUAUUAAAGUCGUAGAGAAUUUUGAGAUGAAAAUGCCAAAUUAGAAUCAUUGUCCAAUUUAUACUGAGGCCAAAUUUUGGUGCAGAGAUGGAUUAAUCAUCUCCACUUUUCCUCCCCCUUCAGGCCCAGCUUGCACAAGUCUUCCAAGAGGCAGGCCAGAGGGGAGUUGAAAUUUGGAACCCAUGGAUUAAGCAAAGAGGGUCCUUUCACAGUGUGUCCCCCGGGAAAGAAUUACCCCCACCAAGAAUCUAAGUUCUGAGUCCUCUAAGAGGUGAGAAUGAGAAUCCCCAUGCUUAGACCAGUAUCCCAGUUCUAAGCUGUGAGGGAUGAGCAUUUACCCUGAGCCAGGCCUGGGAGGGGUGAUGAACCAGUCGCAAGCAUUACCCUAGCGUUACCAAUCCAAUGCAUUGAGAAUUAGGUCCAGUGUGAGAUGUAGUGAUGAGAUCUGGCAAAGUCUCUGGCUGUGAGUUCGUUGGGAAAUGAGAAGUACAAGCGGGAGUGAGAACGUGUUCUGGAGAGGGGUCUCGCAGGGCGUCAGGGUCAGAAGGGAAAGAGGAGAUUGUAGGAAAGAGAAGAUAGGAAUGAGCAGAGACAGUAAAACGGAGAAGUUCAGAAAGGAGAACAGAGUUCAGAGGAAGGGUGGGGGAUCAGAGCUCUUACCCAGAGACCAGGUCCUUCGCUCCCCUCCUUACAUAGGGCACCAAAUAUAAGGAAAAGCAGGGUGCAGAUUGGUGUCUCCUCACACGGGCCACCAAAUAUAAGGAAAAGAGGUGCAGAGCAGAGAGGAGACAGAAUACAAACUUGCAGCCAGGCUGAAUUUAUUCAAAGAAAAUAAAUCCACAAAAGUUGACUAACUGUUACCAUGUACAUAGACUGAAAACGUGGCAGAGGGCCCAGACCCCAGCAGCGGGGACAUUUUUGUAUCUUAGGUGAGCUGGGGUGGGGGUUGGGAGUAGUAGGCAGAGGUGAGCUGCUCCAUAGUGAUUCUUCAAGUUUGGCCCACUGACUUCCAAACCUGGGGAUGAAUGCAAGAGGUAGGGUGGGGAACAAUACAGGGAUACCGGGUGUGAGACUGAACUGGUCUUUUGAAAGAAGGCAGGGGUAGCAAGAACCUAAAAUGGCUGGGGCUUAUGCCCUUGUUCCAUCAGCAUGUGAGUGGAAGAUGGAGUACAGGGCUCUUGCAUGUGCUUGUGCAGGUUGUCUGUGCACGAGGUCAUCUGACCGAGGAGACCAGCGGAGGCUGGAGGGCAGCCAGGCCAGGGGUCCCAGUGGGGAAAUGUGUGCUGUAUAGGCACCCAGAGAAAGGGGUGCCUUUUUGUGAUUGACAGUGGGAGACAGAUUAGAAAGAAAAGGAUGAAGCUGGAUGGUGGGGGACUUUCCUGUGUCUAGACUACUCCAGAAGGGUGGAAGUGCACAGUGGUGAUUGUGAGUAUGAUUGGUGACCUACCUAGAGGUCUACUAGGAGCUCUGUCAGUCCUAGGAGUCCUGUUUAUCUGGCAGAAAAUCAAUCUGUAUCUUUUGGAAAUUAUAUUUGCCUGGUCUUUCUGCAAAGCAAACUGAUCCACUUUGCUGUGCUAUCAAAUCAGCCUGGUUUAAUUGUAUAAGCCAGUCAGGGAAAGAGAACCUGUCCCAUGACUCCAAAGCAUUCUGUUCUGCAGCUCCCUAUAAUUACAGACAAAUGCAUCUAAUCUUCCCGUCAUGUGUUCUCCUGAGUUGCAGGAUUUUUUUUCUUUUCAGUAUUUGAUAAUCUCAUUAUCUUGUGAUUCUGUAUCAUUUAAUUAUUCCCCAAAAUAGAUAUCUUCAGAAAAUCUGCUUAGAUAAAAUGAGUUGCUGUUCCCAACUGAAGUCACAGCUGGGAUGUUUUCUCAGAAAUUUUUUUUGGAGCUUUGAGAUGUUGUUUUUCUUAAGGGAUCUCAUCUGCCAUCAGAGGCUGUUGAAGCCUUCCUAUAGAUUACCUGAAGAAUUUCAUAAAGUCUGGAGAAAAACAGGGGGUGGGUGCAGAAGUCUUCAAGUGCAGGACUAACGAGACAGAGGGCUGGAAUGCAGGUGCUAUCAGACUGCACUGGGUGACUGAUGGUCACCUCCCAGUGUCUGUAUGCAUUUCCUGAUCAUCUCCCUUGUCACACAGUAGAACGGGCAUUGGGGAUACGAAAAUGAGUGCUUGCUCAGACCCAGUCCCCAUCUAAAGAAGAAUACAGUCUCUCAUCCUGAUUAUCAGAAGGUUCGGAAUGUAGUUUCACAAGCUCUGCCACCUACUUACAGUACCUUGAGGACAUCCUUCAUCGGAGCCUCGUUUUCCUGUGGGACGCUGAGGUGGUGUUCUUGUAAGAGGCACCAAGUGUUGUGAGGUGAGUCUGGGUUACCUGAGAUUAGUGACAGUGCAUCCAUACACAGCCACUCAGUGUUCUUCGGUUCUUGACCUUUACAGACUAAAGGGGAUUCAUUAUUUUAGUUUUCCUAAAAUCGGAGCUGCUUCAUUUUGUUCUGUUUUUCUUGGAAUGUUUGUACUUUGAUGGUGUCAUUAGUAUUUAGUGAGUGGACCUUGAUAUGCUACAAGUAUGAAACUUGUGACUUGGACAAGGUGAAGGCAGAGAGGAAGAAAUACAGUGUACUGGAUUUCUUGCAAACUUUCUGGUCACUAACAUUUUCCCUCCUUUCACUGUCCCAAUCUCAUAUGUUCUCUGUGACAGCUCACAGGACCAUCUUAAGGGAACAAGUUUGUUGUUCCAAGAUCCUUUACCCGGUUAUAGUUGAACACUCCAGUUCAUGAUCCUCUGAUAAGAUUAUUUCCUCUGAAUGUGUUUUCUUACACUUAGUCACAUUAAAACUCCUCUGCCACUUUUCUGCCCACGUCCACAUCUUCUUUGAGUUUAUCCCUAAUCAGCCUGGCAUUUUAAUCCCUGGAAGAGCUGAAUGCCAUCUGCAAACUUGGCAAUUUCCCCGUGCACUCUUUUCUAGAUCAUUUCUAUGCGUGUUGACAAAGACACCAUGAAGCUUGUUCCCGAGGUAGGAAGAGGCUUAGUUAUAUAGCAUUUGAUUUAACAGCUUCAUUGCUGAAUUAAUAAUACCAAGAACCAGCCACAGGAUGUUAUCUUUUUUUUUUUGACAGGCAGAGUGGAUAGUGAGAGAGAGAGACAGAGAGAAAGGUCUUCCUUUUGCUGUUGGUUCACCCUCCAAUGGCUGCCGCACCGCACUGAUCUGAAGGCAGGAGCCAGGUGCUUCUCCUGGUCUCCCAUGGGGUACAGGGCCCAAGCACUUGGGCCAUCCUCCACUGCCCUCCCUGGGCACAGCAGAGAGCUGGCCUGGAAGAGGGGCAACCGGGACAGAAUCUGGCGCCCUGACCGGGACUAGAACCCGGUGUGCCGGCGCUGCUAGGUGGAGGAUUAGCCUAUUGAGCCGCGGCGCCGUCCAGGAUGUUAUCUUUAUCUCAAAAAAAAAAAAAAAAAAAACAAA
This is a non-coding RNA of Oryctolagus cuniculus (rabbit), 37970 nucleotides long. NCBI's taxonomy places the organism in Eukaryota, Metazoa, Chordata, Mammalia, Lagomorpha, Leporidae. The record is from RefSeq and is a predicted model, not a curated record.